RNAcentral lists this ribosomal RNA (367 nucleotides) under Clostridioides difficile. RNAcentral's name for it is "partial 23S ribosomal RNA". It matches the Rfam family "Bacterial large subunit ribosomal RNA", at positions 1238 to 1601 of the family's 2925-position model. The record is from RNAcentral. Lineage: Bacteria; Bacillati; Bacillota; Clostridia; Peptostreptococcales; Peptostreptococcaceae.
UUCCCAUACGGGUUGAAGCAUGACCGUAAGGACAUGUGGACAGUAUGGGAGUGAGAAUGUUGGCAUGAGUAGCGAGAUGUGGGUGAGAAUCCCACAGGCCGUAAACCCAAGGUUUCCAGGGGAAGGUUCGUCCGCCCUGGGUUAGUCGGAACCUAAGCUGAGGCCGAAAGGCGUAGGUGAUGGACAACAGGUUGAUAUUCCUGUACUACCGAUAACCAUUUGAGAGAAGGGAUGACACAGUAGGAUAAGCUAAGCACACUGUUGGUUAUGUGUGCCCAAGCAUUGAGGCAGUCAAAGUAGGCAAAUCCGCUUUGAUAAUGCUGGGAUGUGAUGGGGAGCGAAAUUUAGUAGCGAAGUAGCUGAUUUC